CGCACAAGCGGCGGAGCAUGUGGUUUAAUUCGAUGCAACGCGAGGAACCUUACCAAGGCUUGACAUGUACGAGAAAGCCCCAGAGAUGGGGUUCUCUUUGGACUCUCGUACACAGGUGGUGCAUGGUUGUCGUCAUCUCGUGUCGUGAGAUGUUGGGUUAAUUCCCGCAACAAGCGCAACCCUUGUCCCAUGUUGCCAGCGGGUUAUGCCGGGGACUCAUGGGAGACUGCCGGGGUCAACUCGGAGGAAGGUGGGGAUAACAUCAAAUCAUCUUGCCCCUUAUGUCUUGGGCUUCACGCAUGCUACAAUGGGCGGGACACAGGGCUGCGAUACCGGGAGGUGGAGCGAAUCCCAAAAAGCCGGUCUCAGUUCGGAUCGGGGUCUGCAACUCGACCCCGUGAAGUCGGAGUCGCUAGUAAUCGCAGAUCAGCAACGCUGCGGUGAAUACGUUCCCGGGCCUUGUACACACCGCCCCGUAUA
Molecule: ribosomal RNA, 480 nt
Filed under: bacterium PRO-BS2
Lineage: Bacteria
Description: bacterial SSU rRNA
Rfam family: Bacterial small subunit ribosomal RNA
Source: RNAcentral